This 441-nucleotide ribosomal RNA is filed under the name uncultured bacterium. Its description in RNAcentral is "partial 16S ribosomal RNA". It matches the Rfam family "Bacterial small subunit ribosomal RNA", at positions 338 to 795 of the family's 1533-position model. The record is from RNAcentral.
CCUACGGGAGGCAGCAGUGGGGAAUAUUGCACAAUGGGGGAAACUCUGAUGCAGCAACGCCGCGUGAGUGAUGAAGGCCUUCGGAUUGUAAAGCUCUGUUUGCAGGGAAGUGGAAGGACGGUACCUGCAGAGGAAGCCAAGGUUAACUACGUGCCAGCAGCCGCGGUAAUACGUAGGGGGCACGCGUUGUUCGGAAUAACUGGGCGUAAAGGAUGAGUAGGCGGUUAAACAAGUUAUAUGUUAAAGAUAUUGGCUUAACCUGUAGAAAGCAUAUAAAACUGGUUAACUAGAGUGCAGGAGGGGUAAGUGGAAUUCCUGGUGUAGCGGUGAAAUGCGUAGAGAUUAGGAAGAACACCGGUGGCGAAGGCGAGUUACUGGACUGUAACUGACGCUGAGGCAUGAGAGCAUGGGUAGCAAACAGGAUUAGAUACCCUUGUAGUC